RNAcentral lists this unclassified non-coding RNA (517 nucleotides) under uncultured Glomus. RNAcentral describes it as "SSU rRNA". It matches the Rfam family "Eukaryotic small subunit ribosomal RNA", at positions 569 to 1092 of the family's 1831-position model. Lineage: Eukaryota; Fungi; Glomeromycota; Glomeromycetes; Glomerales; Glomeraceae. The record is from RNAcentral.
AGCAGCCGCGGUAAUUCCAGCUCCAAUAGCGUAUAUUAAAGUUGUUGCAGUUAAAAGCUCGUAGUUGAAUUUCGGGAUCAAUAUGUUGGUCGUGCCUUGGUACGUACUGGCAUUAUCGAUUCCUACCUUCUGAAGAACCUCGAUGUCAUUAAUUUGGUGUCUUGGGGAAUCAGGACUGUUACUUUGAAAAAUUGAGUGUUUAAAGCAGGCUCGCGCUUGAAUACAUUAGCAUGGAAUAAUGAAAUAGGACGUUUGAUUCUAUUUUGUUGGUUUCUAGGGUCGACGUAAUGAUUAAUAGGGAUAGUUGGGGGCAUUAGUAUUCAAUUGUCAGAGGUGAAAUUCUUGGAUUUAUUGAAGACUAACUACUGCGAAAGCAUUUGCCAAGGAUGUUUUCAUUAAUCAAGAACGAAAGUUAGGGGUACGAAGACGAUCAGAUACCGUCGUAGUCUUAACCAUAAACUAUGCCGACUAGGGAUCGGAUGAUGUUAAUUUUUAUGUACUCAUUCGGCGCCUUAAC